Molecule: ribosomal RNA, 1332 nt
Filed under: uncultured bacterium
Lineage: Bacteria
Description: bacterial SSU rRNA
Rfam family: Bacterial small subunit ribosomal RNA
Source: RNAcentral
GACGAACGCUGGCGGCGCGCCUAACACAUGCAAGUCGAACGAGCGAGAGAGAGCUUGCUUUCUCGAGCGAGUGGCGAACGGGUGAGUAACGCGUGAGGAACCUGCCUCAAAGAGGGGGACAACAGUUGGAAACGACUGCUAAUACCGCAUAAGCCCACGGGUCGGCAUCGACCAGAGGGAAAAGGAGUAAUCCGCUUUGAGAUGGCCUCGCGUCCGAUUAGCUAGUUGGUGAGGUAAUGGCCCACCAAGGCAACGAUCGGUAGCCGGACUGAGAGGUUGAACGGCCACAUUGGGACUGAGACACGGCCCAGACUCCUACGGGAGGCAGCAGUGGGGAAUAUUGCACAAUGGGGGAAACCCUGAUGCAGCGACGCCGCGUGGAGGAAGAAGGUCUUCGGAUUGUAAACUCCUGUUGUUGAGGAAGAUAAUGACGGUACUCAACAAGGAAGUGACGGCUAACUACGUGCCAGCAGCCGCGGUAAAACGUAGGUCACAAGCGUUGUCCGGAAUUACCGGGUGUAAAGGGAGCGCAGGCGGGAAGACAAGUUGGAAGUGAAAUCUAUGGGCUCAACCCAUAAACUGCUUUCAAAACUGUUUUUCUUGAGUAGUGCAGAGGUAGGCGGAAUUCCCGGUGUAGCGGUGGAAUGCGUAGAUAUCGGGAGGAACACCAGUGGCGAAGGCGGCCUACUGGGCACCAACUGACGCUGAGGCUCGAAAGUGUGGGUAGCAAACAGGAUUAGAUACCCUGGUAGUCCACACCGUAAACGAUGAUUACUAGGUGUUGGAGGAUUGACCCCUUCAGUGCCGCAGUUAACACAAUAAGUAAUCCACCUGGGGAGUACGACCGCAAGGUUGAAACUCAAAGGAAUUGACGGGGGCCCGCACAAGCAGUGGAGUAUGUGGUUUAAUUCGACGCAACGCGAAGAACCUUACCAAGUCUUGACAUCCUGCGACGCACAUAGAAAUAUGUGUUUCCUUCGGGACGCAGAGACAGGUGGUGCAUGGUUGUCGUCAGCUCGUGUCGUGAGAUGUUGGGUUAAGUCCCGCAACGAGCGCAACCCUUACUGUCAGUUACUACGCAAGAGGACUCUGGCAGGACUGCCGUUGACAAAACGGAGGAAGGUGGGGAUGACGUCAAAUCAUCAUGCCCUUUAUGACUUGGGCUACACACGUACUACAAUGGCGUUAAACAAAGAGAAGCAAGACCGCGAGGUGGAGCAAAACUCAGAAACAACGCCCCAGUUCGGACUGCAGGCUGCAACUCGCCUGCACGAAGUCGGAAUUGCUAGUAAUCGUGGAUCAGCAUGCCACGGUGAAUACGUUCCCGGGCCU